RNAcentral lists this ribosomal RNA (927 nucleotides) under uncultured archaeon. RNAcentral's name for it is "bacterial SSU rRNA". It matches the Rfam family "Archaeal small subunit ribosomal RNA", at positions 1 to 921 of the family's 1478-position model. The record is from RNAcentral.
UUCCGGUUGAUCCUGCCGGAGGUCACUGCUAUUGGGAUUCGGCUAAGCCAUGCAAGCGGAGGGCGCGGUCGAAAGAUCGUGGCCCCGCACACUGCUCAGUAACACGUAGUCAACCUACCCUUGGGACGGGGACAACCUCGGGAAACUGAGGCUAAUCCCCGAUAGGUGAGGGACGCUGGAAUGCCUCCUCGCCCAAAGCUCCGGCGCCCAAGGAUGGGACUGCGGUCUAUCAGGCUGUUGGUGGUGUAACGGACCACCAAACCUACGGCGGGUACGGGCGAUGGGAGUCGGAGCCCGGAGAUGGGGACUGAGACAAGGCCCCAGGCCCUACGGGGCGCAGCAGGCGCGAAAACUCCGCAAUGCGCGCAAGCGUGACGGGGGAAUCCCAAGUGCCGUUGGUCUUAUGAUCGACGGUUUUUAGGAAGUCUAAGAAGCUUCCAGAAUAAGGGCUGGGCAAGACUGGUGCAGCCGCCGCGGUAACACCAGCAGCCCAAGUGGUGACCACGAUUAUUGGGCCUAAAGCGCUCGUAGCCGGAUCAGCAAGUCCCUUGUGAAAUCGGGCCGCCUAACGGUUCGGCGUGCAAGGGAUACUGUUGGUCUUGAGGUCGGGAGAGGUCGGAGGUACUCCUGGGGUAGCGGUGAAAUGCUCUAAUCCUAGGGGGACCACCAGUGGCGAAGGCGUCCGACCAGAACGGACCUGACGGUGAGGGGCGAAGGCUAGGGGAGCGAACGGGAUUAGAUACCCCGGUAGUCCUAGCUGUAAAGCAUGCGGGCCAGGUGUCUAGCGCUCCUUGAGGGCGCUAGGUGCCGGAGGGAAGCCGUUAAGCCCGCCGCCUGGGAAGUACGGCCGCAAGGCUGAAACUUAAAGAAAUUGGCGGGGGAGCACCACAAGGGUGAAGCCUGCGGUUCAAUUGGACUCAACGCCGG